UGGCGAUUUAAAGUAAAAUGCAUUCCGAUGUAUUUUAGUUUGGAUCUCCAGGAAUUAAACCGAUGCAUCCAUGGAUUCAUCACAUGAAAACAGAAAUGCACUCAAAGACUUGUAAUGAGCCCCUUUGUCCCCCAGACGGUGCUGCAACUUUUGUGUCAUUCACCCCUUUGUCCCCCAGAUGUCUCUCCAAAAUUGGAGGUUGACGGGGAAGAGGAUACCUGCACUUUUUCAGUAGCUGGGUGUAAUGUGUUUCUGUGGACACGUUGCGUUGCACACCAGAUGAUGCGGUCCACCCAGCCCAACAUCGGCACUUCAGGAACAACUCGUUCUGUUCUCUCCUUUGAUCUGGGGGAUCGUAACAGGUUCCUGCCAGUGUCCCGUCCUGUGUGACACACAUUCGAGGUCCUGCUGUUGGGAGCCAUCACUUCUUGUGAACCGAGGCACUGCUCUCAGUGCCUCCCUUCUGCUCUGGUACCCACUUUGUGCUUCAACCAACUGGUCAUGUUAAAAGUUUAGUCCAAUGACUCGUCCCAUAAAUUUCAAUAAUACCUCCCCUGCAUCUCCUUUUCUACAGCCUAACCACUCUCAGUUGUUUAACCUUUUCCCAACGGCUUGAAUUUCAACUGCUACAGUAGGUUGGGGCAGAUGGUUGUCUGACUCCAUUGUCUCAUUACUUGAGACCUGCAAGCAAACUUCAGGAUCCCAUCCCGACUUGAAGUUCCUACUUAGGAGCUUAUGUAAGGAAUCAGCCUCUUCCAAGGAAAGCUCUUCCUUGGCACUCCCCAGAAAGUUUUGUUUGGUCUCUAACCUGAUGGACCCCUACAGCCAACCCUGGCAUGGGUUUCCAAGCGGUGUUGAGACCCUGCCUCCUUGUUGGCCUUUGUGCAUUAGACAACCUGUCUGCUCCCACAGCUGUGACUGUGACCCACACUCCUAGAGACCAGGUAACCCCUGCUGCCCUUUCUGAACCGUUCUCAUGCAUACACAGAUACCUAUAAACCAAUUCCCAAAAAGCAAACCUUUAAAUGCCAUUUUCUAAGCCAACAGGGGAGAGGGAGGAGUGCCAUGUCCCAGCCAGCACAGCAGACUGCUUCCCUUCAGUUUUUCCUGUGCCGUUGCCAUUCCCUUGUUCUCCCUGGGACUCUUGCUUUCCUCCUCCUGCUCCCUCCAUGCCUCUUCAGUGACCUUCAGGUGCAGUGUGCCACAUCGGCAACAAAACUUAAAAGACUAAUAUCAACUCACCCUGCUCUCCUAGGUAUCCCACUUAUGAACCUAUCUAUAGCAAAGGGUACUCACAUUGAGCCCCUCAAAAUCUUCCCCACCAGGACGCUAGAUCCUUUCGAGGGAGCCGGGGGGUACCACACCUAUCAGCACCGUUAGGUGGGCAAAUCUGAUUUGCAAGAUGCACCCAGAGAUUUCCAACAGAAAUCCAGAGUUGUGGUCUUUUUGAGUUCUUUGCAACAGAAAACUGCUGUUGUUUUUCAGUAGUUAAAAAAGAGUAAAAAUGAAGAGCUGAUGUUUUCUUAGGGGUUCCUCCAAUCGAUCCAGGUUGAGAACCACUGCACUAGCUAUAUCCAGUUCAAUUUGUUACCUCUGUAGUGAGCAUUUCUACCACUGCUGGAGCAGGGUCUGGGCUAGAUGGACCAUUGGUCUGACCCAGUACGGCACAUCUUUUGUUCUUAUGCCCCUUUCAAGUGCCUGAUUUGGGAGCUACUUAAUUACUUCCAGUAUGUUUAUUUUUUGGUUGCUGAUGGCAAGCCCCUUCCCCAUUUUAUAUGCACACCUCAGCUCCCUACUCUUGCCCCACAAACUUCCUCCCCUCCUGAGUACUGCAUGCAUGUGAUGUCAAUGUGUUAAUGCAUGAGGGAAUGUAAUCAUGAACUACCAGGGCAGAGGAAGAUCUUAUGUGAAGAGAAAUGGUAUAACAAAUAAAGUGAACAAAUGAAAAUAUA
Alligator mississippiensis (American alligator) is the source of this 1952-nucleotide long non-coding RNA. RefSeq lists it as uncharacterized. NCBI's taxonomy places the organism in Eukaryota, Metazoa, Chordata, Crocodylia, Alligatoridae. The record is from RefSeq and is a predicted model, not a curated record. The transcript has 2 exons.